Pelobates cultripes (western spadefoot toad) is the source of this 228-nucleotide non-coding RNA. The record is from the annotation of a GenBank genome assembly. Lineage: Eukaryota; Metazoa; Chordata; Amphibia; Anura; Pelobatidae.
AUAGACUACUAUAUUAGAUCUAAUCACCAUUGCAGUAUUAUGCUAUGAUUCUUCUGUUUUUUAUGUACAGGGUUUAUACCUACUGACAUCUAUUAUAUUGGGGUAUUUAUCCUUAUUUUUAUUUUGAUUUACACAUUCACCUAAGGUGGAAGCAUCACUGAUAUAUAUCUUUGUGAAUCUAUUAUAUGUGCUGCACACUUCUUUGUAUUGUUGUGUUUUGGUUUCUGU